This 282-nucleotide ribosomal RNA is filed under the name uncultured prokaryote. RNAcentral describes it as "partial 16S ribosomal RNA". It matches the Rfam family "Bacterial small subunit ribosomal RNA", at positions 505 to 786 of the family's 1533-position model. The record is from RNAcentral.
GUGUCAGCCGCCGCGGUAAUACGGAGGGUGCAAGCGUUAAUCGGAAUUACUGGGCGUAAAGCGCGCGUAGGCGGCUAGGUCAGUCAGAUGUGAAAUCCCCGGGCUCAACCUGGGAAUUGCAUUUGAUACUGCCUGACUUGAGUGUGGUAGAGGGAAGCGGAAUUCCAGGUGUAGCGGUGAAAUGCGUAGAUAUCUGGAGGAACAUCAGUGGCGAAGGCGGCUUCCUGGACCAACACUGACGCUGAGGUGCGAAAGCGUGGGUAGCAAACAGGAUUAGAAACC